AUGUGCCUACGGGGGGCAGCAGUCGGGAAUAUUGCGCAAUGGAGGAAACUCUGACGCAGUGACGCCGCGUAUAGGAAGAAGGUUUUCGGAUUGUAAACUAUUGUCGUUAGGGAAGAUAAAAGACCGUACCUAAGGAGGAAGCCCCGGCUAACUAUGUGCCAGCAGCCGCGGUAAUACAUAGGGGGCAAGCGUUAUCCGGAAUUAUUGGGUGUAAAGGGUGCGUAGACGAAAGAACAAGUUGGUUGUGAAAUCCCUCGCCUCAACUGAGGAACUGCAACCAAAACUAUUCACCUUGAGUGACGGAG
This 305-nucleotide ribosomal RNA is filed under the name uncultured bacterium. RNAcentral's name for it is "bacterial SSU rRNA". It matches the Rfam family "Bacterial small subunit ribosomal RNA", at positions 333 to 654 of the family's 1533-position model. The record is from RNAcentral.